GUCUUCAAUCCAGUAAAACUUUGAAGAUUUGAAAUUUGUGCAUUGACGGCUUCUUCAAUGACAAAUUUAUUGGCUUUGGUGUUAGUAUUGAAAGAAAUCAAGAAAGAAGAAUACUAAAAUCAACUGUAAAUGCCUACAGCAACAUACCCGCCACCAUCGCUGUAUUGCAAGCUCUACGAGGACUAUCUACAGUAUCCAAACUCUGCUUCUGAACCACCGCCCCCAAUCCCAGGCACCUAUGUUCUCUACGGUGCAAAUUACACAAACCUUAAUUAUCAAUUUUAUUUUAUUAUUUUUUAUUUUUUUUGGGUUUUGCUUUUGUAUGUAAGUUUCUAAAUUAAAGUUAGCUUUCUUAUAAUGGAUUUGUGAAAUAGCAUUCCAAUAUGGUGAUAGUCAAAAGGGUCUUUUUAAUCAUUCACCAGGUUUUCUUUUUAUUAGUUAUGGGUUUGAAUUAAGGAUGAUGUUGAAUAGAUAAUGGUGAAGGAAAGAAAGAAAUUGGUCUGUACUAAUUAAGCAAUUUCAUUUUUGAAUUUUGAUCCUAUAGGAGAUGUUAAUAACUUUUUUCAUGAUUGUCAUGUAUUGGAAAUAUUUCAAUUAAAAUGUGAAGCAUAUGUAAGCUGGUUCUCUAUAUGUUGUUAUUUAUUGCUCUGAAACUAAAUAAGUCAAUCCUUAUUGUAAAAAUUCUACUGCCAAAAGUUUAUUUCUUUUCUUUUGAAUAUGUAAAAGGAUAACCUUGUUUUAAACUUUUUAUGUAGAUUGAUGAUGUGCUUCCUACUCAAUUAGAGCAUGGCGUCCAUCAAUUGUACCCAAAACGGUAAAAUGUUGGUAUGAUUUGCAUAUUGCAUCACUUUUUGACAGUAGUUUUGAAUGUGAAGGAUAUUUAAUCAACUGUUAUACCACUUUAUUGCCAUCAAUAGGCAUUUUAGUAUCAAAUUUUCAAGCAGUGUGUUGGCUUUUUUGCUUUGCUGUUAUUUGAUGAUCAUUUGUACCCGUGGAGGUUUAAUAUAUUUGAGCUUGUACAAUUUUCUUCAUUUAUGCUCGGAGUUUGUAAGUAAUUUGCUCGGUUUCAUCUAACAGCAAGCUCGCAAGAUGCAAU
Molecule: long non-coding RNA, 1096 nt
Filed under: Olea europaea subsp. europaea
Lineage: Eukaryota; Viridiplantae; Streptophyta; Magnoliopsida; Lamiales; Oleaceae
Source: RNAcentral